Molecule: long non-coding RNA, 322 nt
Organism: Schistocerca americana (American grasshopper)
Lineage: Eukaryota; Metazoa; Arthropoda; Insecta; Orthoptera; Acrididae
Exons: 3
Source: RefSeq, a predicted model, not a curated record
GGAACCUUGGAUGGACCAUGGUGCAAGAGACAGACGUGUGAGUACUCCCUGACUCACAGGGCUUCUGAACUAAGGGGAUGUGCGCCGGUAUUCCGUGAGGGCGAUAACUGUUGUGCUUCCAGAUUUCACUGUCCUUCAGCCGAUGACAGCGUGGUGAGACAUUCGGAGACUACAACAGAGAAUGAAGGUGGCCAGUGCUCUUUCGGAGACCACAGACUGAACACUGGCGAUGAGCUUCUGGUCGGCACCGACGGCUGCGUCAAAUGCAGAUGCGACGUUCCUCCAUUCAUAACUUGCACGCACAGAGCAGAUCCUGCAUGCG